This is a long non-coding RNA of Lates calcarifer (barramundi perch), 1086 nucleotides long. RefSeq lists it as uncharacterized. The record is from RefSeq and is a predicted model, not a curated record. The transcript has 2 exons. Lineage: Eukaryota; Metazoa; Chordata; Actinopteri; Centropomidae.
GCACAUUAAGUAACAAAUUGUUCCAAAGAUCUUCUGUUUUUUGUCAUCGAUGCACAGAGUCACACGAAGGGCAGCGGGGAGAAAAUGCACACAUUCCUCUUCCUCUCUGUAGAAAAGGGGAAUGAAUUAAAAUGUCUGCUGGACGUGCAGGAGCCUCUCAACCCCCAACCCAACCUCCUCCUCCCGGAUCCAGGCCAGUUCAGCCUAGCCAUGCGUGGUCAUCUCUGGGAAUUCAUUCCGGAUGCUUCCUGUUCAUUGCAUCCACUCCUUUUUCUAUCUGUCACUCCACCCCCAUCUAUAUGUCUUCCUCUUUACUAUCUGUCCCAUAAAUCAUCUCUAUCUUCUGAAGCACAUGCUGAAAUUUACAUUUUUCUCUUACUUGUUAAACAUUUUAAUGUCUAAAUUAUGCCACUUGGUUUGGAAUUUUGCAACAGCACUAAAUUCCAUUUAAAGUCCAAAUUCAAAGACAUUAUUCAAACCAAGCUCAGAAAAUUUGGCUACAUUUACCACUAACUAAUUCUUUUUUUUGUGGCUUGACCAAGACCUGAUUUAUGUGCCUAAAGUGAUAUUACCAGAAAAGCAUGUGAUAUCUUUUUUUGAUCACACAAACUAUAAAAUUCUGACAAAGGUCUUACUGCCAAUGGAUUUACACGCCUGAAGUGAAGCUACUGUACAGUAUAUCCUACAUACCACAGGCAAAAGCUACAUAUAUUUCAAUCUUUCAGUGGCUGACAGAAGUGAGCUGCUUAUUUUGUUGGGAAAGACAAUGGCACAAAUAUCCAAAGUUUUUCUUUUCAUUCUAAAGUUUCAGCAGGAACCACUGAGGAGCGCACAACACAUUCCCACCACCCCAAACUCCCGCUGUGCAUCCAAAGCUGCCUUUCAGCACAGUCAGUGGAGACAGCAGCUGGGAACAUUAAAAUGCUACUACAAGCAUCUUCUUUACUCUGAUAUUGUGUCUGUAGCCUAUUUUCCAAAGUGUGCCUACACACUGUAAAAUUACAGCGCUACAGUUUUCCUGCAGUAUUGACUGCAUGUGCUCUGUCAGCCAUGUGAGGAUGAAGUAAAGUGGCACUUUAUCCCUUA